UGAAGUGGCAGAGAGAGUUUCAGUGAUUUAAUAACUUACAGACCAAGUCAAGCAGGCAAUAAAUCCAAAACCGUAAACAGGGGAAAACCAGGAACACCCGGAAACAGAGCAUUAGAAACCUGCAGAACUUCUCAACACAAAAUACUUUAAGGAACUGACACCAGACAAAAGGAGCACACAAACGAAAUACACAAGGAGGGGAUCACAGGACAAGGCACAGCUGAAGUGGGAAGGGAACUGGUGUAAGGAGGGAAACACUGAUUGGUUAACAAGACAAGGAAUGGCAACAGAAAGGCCGGCUGAUCAGGCGAGACAGAAGGGACGACAAGGGCUACAGGGACACAUGAGUACACUAAAAAAGAUGCUUUGCUAGCUGCAGGCACCAGGAGAGGAGCCAGGUGAUUAUGCUCCUCAUGUGUAUGCUGAGGAAGGAAAUAGGAAGACUGACUUUGAGCUUGAUGCCAUCUCCAUCCAUGAUGAUUCUUUUGACCCAGACUUGGACAUGGGCCUGGAUUUCAAAUUCAAUACUCUGGCCUCACUCUGCAUGUUUAGUGAAAGCACUGCCCACAGUACAAAAUCUCCUCUCAAAGGCUUUAAGAGACAGCAACUCUGAACCAAGAAAGCCAUAACACUCAUACUGUAUUUGUAUUUUUGAACAAAUCAUCAUCUUAAAUUAUAAAUAUUACCUACAUACCCUAUGAAGGACUUGUGGAUAACCUUUAAAUACACAUGCGUGAGGCGAGCCGUGGCUGGUUGUCAUAGCAGGAAACUGCCGUGACCUAACACAACACACACACAGAACGCCAAAGGUGUGUUGUUUUUGACUCUGGGCAUGGGGGCUGUUGCCACAGACAAGACAAAAUGUAGGUUCAGAAAGCAAUAACGCAGUGAAUGGUGACGUUUCCCUCCGACCAAUCAGUAGUCUGCAGGGUUUCACGUCACCUUUUGGUAUGGCCUCAGCUCGCUUGGACCCUCGACUGAGGUGGUAUUAUACAAUGUACCUGUUAGCAGGUCCCAGGGACUUUUUUUACGUAAUGGAAAACCAAAAAAGGCGAGUAGAGUGGAGGCGAGUCGAGUAGGUACCAUGCAGUGGAAAAAAGCCAUAAUUUUAGCUACACUUGAAGGACAUUUAUCAUUUAUCUUCUCUAGACUCUUCAUCAGUCAAUGAUGGCUGGGAGAGAAAAAACAAUGACUGUGUCUGAGAAAAUAUGAAAAUUAGAACUUAGUAAGCACUAGGGACACAGUUCAUCUAUUCAUCGUUUCCACUAUUGCACUAUUCAUAAGUCAUGUUACACAAACCUUACCAUAAAGAGUCUCUACUUUGUGAUGAGAAGGAAAACU
Molecule: long non-coding RNA, 1341 nt
Organism: Etheostoma spectabile (orangethroat darter)
Lineage: Eukaryota; Metazoa; Chordata; Actinopteri; Perciformes; Percidae
Exons: 2
Source: RefSeq, a predicted model, not a curated record